RNAcentral lists this ribosomal RNA (500 nucleotides) under uncultured bacterium. RNAcentral's name for it is "partial 16S ribosomal RNA". It matches the Rfam family "Bacterial small subunit ribosomal RNA", at positions 29 to 523 of the family's 1533-position model. The record is from RNAcentral.
AUUGAACGCUGGCGGCAUGCCUUACACAUGCAAGUCGAACGGCAGCACGGGAGCAAUCCUGGUGGCGAGUGGCGAACGGGUGAGUAAAGUAUCGGAACGUGCCCAGUCGUGGGGGAUAACGUAGCGAAAGUUACGCUAAUACCGCAUACGAGCGAUGGAUGAAAGCGGGGGAUCGCAAGACCUCGCGCGAUUGGAGCGGCCGAUAUCAGAUUAGGUAGUUGGUGGGGUAAAGGCUCACCAAGCCGCCGAUCUGUAGCUGGUCGGAGAGGACGACCAGCCACACUGGGACUGAGACACGGCCCAGACUCCUACGGGAGGCAGCAGUGGGGAAUUUUGGACAAUGGGCGAAAGCCUGAUCCAGCCAUGCCGCGUGCAGGAUGAAGGCCUUCGGGUUGUAAACUGCUUUUGUACGGAACGAAAAGGUUUGGCCUAAUAAGCUGAGCUCAUGACGGUACCGUAAGAAUAAGCACCGGCUAACUACGUGCCAGCAGCCGCCGUAA